GUUGAUUUUUCACAUUAAACUAAUUUUUAUUUUCAUUUUUCACGUGACUCAAAAAAUUUUUCAUCUGAAUUUUGAUAGAAAAUAAAGAUAGACAUAAAGUGAUAUACUCUGUCCUAUGUUUGGUAUUACACAUAAACUUCGUGUUUUGUUAAUGUAUUUGUUUUGGAGCCCGGUGCUGAGACUGACUGUGAUGGCAUAGCAUCGAGAAUCUUUUGCCUGGUUUCGGGAUCGGAAGAGUUGGUAUUUUGUGCGUUAUUCUCAUCUUCCAGCUUUCCCAGUUCUGAAUAUGAACUCGACUUGUGGAAAGGGAAAGUAGUGACGACUGUGGUGUGCAUAUCAUCACUUAGGUCACUUUUCGGUGUACUAAACAUCGUGGUAAUGGCUAGAGGCUUGUCAUUUUCUUCUGGUCUUUUGUUAAGCGGUACAUUUGUACUAGUGUCUUUGACAACGGAAGUGUGAUUGGCGUGCCCAUCCCUGUAUUCUUCAACGUACUUGGAAGGACUGACUUAGCGAGAGCUGCAGUGGUAGGAUGAUUUGCCUGUAAUGUGCUAUUUACUGAAGCGGACUCCAUUUCCUUG
Culicoides brevitarsis is the source of this 578-nucleotide long non-coding RNA. RefSeq lists it as uncharacterized. The transcript has 3 exons. The record is from RefSeq and is a predicted model, not a curated record. NCBI's taxonomy places the organism in Eukaryota, Metazoa, Arthropoda, Insecta, Diptera, Ceratopogonidae.